GACCUACGGGGGGCUGCAGUGAGGAAUAUUGGUCAAUGGUCGAGAGACUGAACCAGCCAUGCCGCGUGCAGGAAGAAGGCCUUAUGGGUUAUAAACUGCUUUUGUACGGGAGAAAAAAGACAGUCGUGCAUUGUCAUUGAUAGUACCGUAAGAAUAAGGAUCGGCUAACUCCGUGCCAGCAGCCGCGGUAAUACGGAGGAUCCAAGCGUUAUCCGGAUUUAUUGGGUUUAAAGGGUGCGUAGGCGGAUUAUUAAGUCAGUGUUGAAAGGCUAAAGCUUAACUUUAGAAGUGGCAUUGAUACUGGUAGUCUUGAGUACAGAUGAAGUGGGCGGAAUGUGUCAUGUAGCGGUGAAAUGCAUAGAUAUGACACAGAACACCGAUUGCGAAGGCAGCUCACUAAGUUGUAACUGACGCUGAGGCACGAAAGCGUGGGGAUCAAACAGGAUUAGAUACCCUUGUAGUCUAA
This 466-nucleotide ribosomal RNA is filed under the name uncultured Sphingobacteriales bacterium. Its description in RNAcentral is "bacterial SSU rRNA". It matches the Rfam family "Bacterial small subunit ribosomal RNA", at positions 334 to 798 of the family's 1533-position model. Lineage: Bacteria; Pseudomonadati; Bacteroidota; Sphingobacteriia; Sphingobacteriales. The record is from RNAcentral.